CCUACGGGAGGCAGCAGUGAGGAAUAUUGGUCAAUGGGCGCGAGCCUGAACCAGCCAAGUCGCGUGAGGGAAGACGGCCCUACGGGUUGUAAACCUCUUUUGCCGGGAAGCAACGGGCGCCACGUGUGGCGCCACUGCGAUUACCCGCAACAAAACCAUCGGCUAAAUCCGUGCCAGAAGCCGAGGUAAUACGGAGGAUGCGGGUGUUAUCCGGAUUUUUUGGGUUUAAAGGGUGCGUAGGCGGAGCGUUAAGUCAGUGGUCAAAUUGAGGGGCUCAACCCCUUCCCGCCAUUGAAACUGGCGCUCUUGAGUGGAAGAGAAGUAGGCGGAAUGCGUGGUGUAGCGGUGAAAUGCAUAGAUAUCACGCAGAACCCCGAUUGCGAAGGCAGCAUGCCGGCUUCCUACUGACGCUGAAGCACGAAAGCGUGGGGAUCGAACAGGAUUAGAUACCCCUGUAGUC
RNAcentral lists this ribosomal RNA (460 nucleotides) under uncultured bacterium. RNAcentral's name for it is "partial 16S ribosomal RNA". It matches the Rfam family "Bacterial small subunit ribosomal RNA", at positions 338 to 795 of the family's 1533-position model. The record is from RNAcentral.